This 97-nucleotide small RNA is filed under the name human gut metagenome. RNAcentral describes it as "Alpha operon ribosome binding site". It matches the Rfam family "Alpha operon ribosome binding site", at positions 14 to 110 of the family's 110-position model. Rfam says of the family: The bacterial alpha operon ribosome binding site is surrounded by this complex pseudoknotted structure. The record is from RNAcentral.
CACCACGUAUCCUCUACGGGCUUUGUGGUGGCGCAGUUUAAUCACACAAGAAGGAGUGUAAAUAGUGGCCCGUAUAGCUGGCAUUAACGUUCCUGAU